GUCGAGCGGCGGACGGGUGAGUAACACGUGAGAAUCUGCCCAUUAGUGGGGGAUAACCUGGGGAAACCCAGGCUAAUACCGCAUAAUCCCUACGGGGGAAAGCAGGGGACCUUCGGGCCUUGUGCUGAUGGAUGAGCUCGCGUCGGAUUAGCUUGUUGGUGAGGUAAUGGCUCACCAAGGCGACGAUCCGUAGCUGGUCUUAGAGGAUGAUCAGCCACACCGGGACUGAGACACGGCCCGGACUCCUACGGGAGGCAGCAGUGGGGAAUCUUGGACAAUGGGGGCAACCCUGAUCCAGCCAUGCCGCGUGUGUGAAGAAGGCCUUCGGGUUGUAAAGCACUUUCAGUAGGGAGGAAGGCUUAUCCUUAAUACGGAUGAGUACUUGACGUUACCUACAGAAGAAGCACCGGCUAAUUUCGUGCCAGCAGCCGCGGUAAUACGAAAGGUGCGAGCGUUAAUCGGAAUUACUGGGCGUAAAGCGCGCGUAGGCGGUUUGCUAAGUCAGAUGUGAAAGCCCCGGGCUCAACCUGGGAACUGCAUUUGAAACUGGCAGGCUAGAAUGCAGUAGAGGGAGGUGGAAUUUCCGGUGUAGCGGUGAAAUGCGUAGAGAUCGGAAGGAACACCAGUGGCGAAGGCGGCCUCCUGGACUGACAUUGACGCUGAGGUGCGAAAGCGUGGGGAGCAAACAGGAUUAGAUACCCUGGUAGUCCACGCCGUAAACGAUGUCUACUAGUCGUUGGGAAUCUUAGUAUUCUUGGUGACGAAGUUAACGCGAUAAGUAGACCGCCUGGGGGAGUACGGCCGCAAGGUUAAAACUCAAAUGAAUUGACGGGGGCCCGCACAAGCGGUGGAACCAGGUGGUUUAAUUCGAUGCAACGCGAAGAACCUUACCAGGCCUUGACAUCCUUGGAACUUUCUAGAAAAUAGAUUGGUGCCUUCGGGAGCCAAGUGACAGGUGCUGCAUGGCUGUCGUCAGCUC
RNAcentral lists this ribosomal RNA (979 nucleotides) under Alcanivorax borkumensis. RNAcentral's name for it is "bacterial SSU rRNA". It matches the Rfam family "Bacterial small subunit ribosomal RNA", at positions 90 to 1061 of the family's 1533-position model. The record is from RNAcentral. Lineage: Bacteria; Pseudomonadati; Pseudomonadota; Gammaproteobacteria; Oceanospirillales; Alcanivoracaceae.